This is a non-coding RNA of Paramuricea clavata, 358 nucleotides long. NCBI's taxonomy places the organism in Eukaryota, Metazoa, Cnidaria, Anthozoa, Malacalcyonacea, Plexauridae. The record is from the annotation of a GenBank genome assembly.
GUUGUUUGUUUGUUGUUUGUUUGUUGUUUGUUUGUUGUUUGUUUGUUGUUUGUUUGUUGUUUGUUUGUUGUUUGUUUGUUGUUUGUUUGUUGUUUGUUUGUUGUUUGUUUGUUGUUUGUUUGUUGUUUGUUUGUUGUUUGUUUGUUGUUUGUUUGUUUGUUGUUUGUUUGUUUGUUGUUUGUUUGUUGUUUGUUUGUUGUUUGUUUGUUUGUUGUUUGUUUGUUGUUUGUUUGUUGUUUGUUUGUUGUUUGUUUGUUGUUUGUUUGUUUGUUUGUUUGUUUGUUUGUUUGUUUGUUUGUUUGUUUGUUUGUUUGUUUGUUUGUUUGUUUGUUUGUUUGUGUAGUAAGUUGGCAGCUAA